RNAcentral lists this ribosomal RNA (352 nucleotides) under uncultured bacterium. RNAcentral's name for it is "bacterial SSU rRNA". It matches the Rfam family "Bacterial small subunit ribosomal RNA", at positions 527 to 881 of the family's 1533-position model. The record is from RNAcentral.
GGAAGGUCCGGGCGUUAUCCGGAUUUAUUGGGUUUAAAGGGAGCGUAGGCGGAUUGUUAAGUCAGUUGUGAAAUGUAGACGCUCAACGUCUGCACUGCAGCGCGAACUGGUUUCCUUGAGUACGCACAAAGUGGGCGGAAUUCGUGGUGUAGCGGUGAAAUGCUUAGAUAUCACGAAGAACUCCGAUUGCGAAGGCAGCUCACUGGAGCGCAACUGACGCUGAAGCUCGAAAGUGCGGGUAUCGAACAGGAUUAGAUACCCUGGUAGUCCGCACGGUAAACGAUGGAUGCCCGCUGUUGGUCUGAACAGGUCAGCGGCCAAGCGAAAGCAUUAAGCAUCCCACCUGGGGAGU